AUGGCAAGCCCGUGGACAUCUGGGCAUGUGGGGUGAUCCUGUACAUCCUGCUUGUGGGCUACCCACCCUUCUGGGACGAGGACCAGCACAAGCUGUACCAGCAGAUCAAGGCUGGUGCCUAUGACUUCCCGUCCCCUGAGUGGGACACCGUCACUCCUGAAGCCAAAAACCUCAUCAACCAGAUGCUGACCAUCAACCCUGCCAAGCGCAUCACAGCCCAUGAGGCCCUGAAGCACCCGUGGGUCUGCCAACGCUCCACGGUAGCAUCCAUGAUGCACAGACAGGAGACUGUGGAGUGUCUAAAAAG
This 307-nucleotide long non-coding RNA is filed under the name Pan troglodytes (chimpanzee). Its description in RNAcentral is "long non-coding RNA NONPTRT015596". Lineage: Eukaryota; Metazoa; Chordata; Mammalia; Primates; Hominidae. The record is from RNAcentral.